This 776-nucleotide ribosomal RNA is filed under the name uncultured Neocallimastigales. Its description in RNAcentral is "partial large subunit ribosomal RNA". It matches the Rfam family "Eukaryotic large subunit ribosomal RNA", at positions 24 to 642 of the family's 3401-position model. Lineage: Eukaryota; Fungi; Neocallimastigomycota; Neocallimastigomycetes; Neocallimastigales. The record is from RNAcentral.
UAUCUCUGUAGAGUCUGCAUAUCAAUAAGCGGAGGAAAAGAAACUAACAAGGAUUCCCCUAGUAACGGCGAGUGAAGCGGGAAGAGCUCAAAUUUGAAAUCUUCAAGGUUUGACCUUGACGAAUUGUAGUUUAAAGAAGUGUUUUCGGUUAGAGGAGUAGUAAAAGUUCCUUGGAAUAGGGACAUCAUAGAGGGUGAGAAUCCCGUAUUUGACUUAUUCUUUCUAGCUUUGUGAUACACUUUCAAAGAGUCGGAUUGUUUGGGAAUGCAGUCCAAAAUGGGUGGUAAAUUUCAUCUAAAGCUAACUAUUGGCGAGAGACCGAUAGCGAACAAGUACCGUGAGGGAAAGAUGAAAAGAACUUUGAAAAGAGAGUUAAACAGUACGUGAAAUUGUCAAAAGGGAGGCGUUUGACACCAGUGUUGUUUUUCCGAAAAUCAAUUAAAAAUUGAUUCAUGCCAGGUUGUAUUGACCUUAUCAGCUUGCAAUUUGGUUUUGGGUCUCUUUUUGAUGCACUUUUCGGUUAACAAGUCAACAUCAAUUUCCUUUGCUGUAAAAAGGUAAGAGGAAGGUGGCUUCAAUUUCGGUUGAAGUGUUUAUAGCCUUUUAUCUCUGCAGUCGGGGAGAUUGAGGUCUGCAGCGUAGAUCCUUCGGGGCUAGAUACAUUUAUGCUAAGUUAUAGCUUUUCAUAGACAACUUGUUGACUAUGUUUAGUCAUGUAGCUUACUCGUAAGUGCUAUUUUACCUACGCUUAGGAUGUUGAGCGCAUGUCUCUCUCU